Molecule: unclassified non-coding RNA, 254 nt
Filed under: uncultured Planctomycetia bacterium
Lineage: Bacteria; Pseudomonadati; Planctomycetota; Planctomycetia
Description: contains 16S-23S intergenic spacer region
Rfam family: Bacterial small subunit ribosomal RNA
Source: RNAcentral
GACGAACCGUGCGAACGUUAUUCGGAAUCACUGGGCUUAAAGCGCGUGUAGGCGGGCGGCCACGUCGGCACCUGAAAGGCCCCGGCUCAACCGGGGCACGGGGUCCGAUACGGGUCGCCUGGAGGGGCGUAGGGGGAGCUGGAACUUCCGGUGGAGCGGUGAUAUGCGUUGAGAUCGGAAGGAACGCCCGCGGCGAAAGCGAGCUCCUGGACGCCGACUGACGCUGAGACGCGAGAGCCAGGGGAGCGAACGGG